Cyprinus carpio carpio is the source of this 1254-nucleotide long non-coding RNA. NCBI's taxonomy places the organism in Eukaryota, Metazoa, Chordata, Actinopteri, Cypriniformes, Cyprinidae. The record is from Ensembl.
AAAAAAAAAAUCGGAUAAUGUGUUCUCUUCAAUUACACGUGUCAAAUCUCUCUGAAAUCACAAUAUUUACUCUCGUAUAAAUUAAUUAUACGUAUUUCUUCAAUAAAGAGAUCAACGAAGGAAUGCUAGUCAGUCAGUAAAACGAAUGACCGUUAAUUUUUAAAUUAUGCGUGCAGAAGCGCGUGCAGAUCAGAGGCGCGCAGUAAAGAAAGAUACAAAUAAACUCGUAGCGGUUUUUGUCACGGGCGAACCUGGCAGCUGCCCAUGGGUGCGUUUCCCGUACAACGACGUAACUCGCUGAUUAACCACCAUAGUACGAUGCAUCGUUAUGGAAACGAACUAGCUAGUCACGACCAUAGACAUAUAAAUAGCUAGACGCCUCAUUGGCCGCUCGACCGCACGUCAACGUCGCCGCCAUAUUGGAGCGGGCAACUCUCCAUUACUCUCAUAUCGGGACAGAGGAAAUAUGUCUAUGGGAAAACAUACCUGACUCGUUGGCAGCUUGGGCAUCUACAAACCAUCGCACAAUAAUAAAAACAGAUUUCGGGGUAUUAUCUUUCACAGAGGUGGAUGUUGCACACUGGUGGUGGACGACGAUAUUCCCCCUUCUAUGUAAAGCGCUUUGAGUGCCCAGAAAAGCACUAUAUAAAUGUAAGGAAUUAUGAAUUAUUAUUAUUUAAAUAUAACCAGUUUCUUCAGUCAAUCACAAUACUAUAGACUGCAUUUAAAAUUAUUUACACAGGCUGUUUAAUGCUGAUCAUGUACUGUGUGUGUAUUUACACAAAAACUACAUGAUGUAAAUAGCCUAGAAGUGAAAAACACAGGAACUCACGGUAAGUCAAGCUGCAAUAUCAUGACAAAAUCAUUGUUUAUUAUUGCCCUUGAUGUUGUAAUAAUGAUUAUUAAUUUUCUGGUCUGUGUUAAAUAUAACAUGUAUGGAACAUGUAUGGAAAAAUAAACAACUGUUUCAAAAUUUGUGUUUUCUGCAUGGUUGUGUGUAAUUUGCAUUGUAGAACAAAAUGUCAAGCAUCGUCAAGUUGUUUACAUUAUUUUACUCAUUAGUUGAAUAAAAUAUAGGAAAAUCUUGAGGGAAGCAGUGUAGAAUUAGUCUUUAUUAGUCAGGUUUUGUCAUCACAACUAAACCACCAUUUUGUAUUUUAUAUAUAUAUAUAUAUAUAUAUAUGUGUGUGUGUGUGUGUGUACAUGUAUAUAUUAUACUUAAGGAGAUCAUUAAUUAAACACAAUUUGGAAUUC